UACAGAGGUCCCAAGCGUUGUUCGGAUUCACUGGGCGUAAAGGGUGCGUAGGUGGUGAGGUAAGUCGGAUGUGAAAGCUCGGAGCUCAACUCCGAAAUGGCAUUGGAAACUACCUUGCUCGAGGGUUGGAGGGGGGACUGGAAUACUUGGUGUAGCAGUGAAAUGCGUAGAUAUCGGGAGGAACACCAGUGGCGAAGGCGACUUCCUGGCCUGUUCUUGACGCUGAGGCGCGAAAGCUAGGGGAGCAAACGGG
This 253-nucleotide ribosomal RNA is filed under the name uncultured bacterium. RNAcentral's name for it is "partial 16S ribosomal RNA". It matches the Rfam family "Bacterial small subunit ribosomal RNA", at positions 524 to 776 of the family's 1533-position model. The record is from RNAcentral.